AUUAAAAUUUGUAUUUAUUAUAACUAAUAUUAAUUUUGUUUGGACAAGCAAAUGAAACCCUUAUAUGCAGUACAGUGUUGUUCGUUUGUCACAAAUCUAUGUCCUUUGGCAUCUUUGUGAUUCCAACAGCGUAAGCAAUGGCAGACAAACCUAGCCGAUCGCUGGUUCUAUACGGUGACGGUUUAGCUCGUUUCAUCAAUCCAUCUUCUUCACACAAUCACCAUCUCCACUCUCUCGCUUCUCUUUCUUCCUGCGGUUUAUUGUCUCUUUCCCAUUCUCCUCACCCAGAAACCGAGGAUCAAAGAAUUGUCACAGAAUUCGCACUGCUUCUCGAUGCAUCAUCCCAAAUUGAUGAUCCACCAAAACAAACCUUACCUCAUAGGUUUAUGGGAAUGAAAGCUGCUAUAUUCACCAACCAUUCAGGGUUGAAAUCUUUUAGUUCCAACCUCGGGUUAAGUGUUAUUCAGUUAGAUGAGUUUUUGAAACAACACACUUCUGAAUCGCAAGACAAUGAUGCUGUCGCUGCUGAGCUUCUCAACUUGCUUGGUUUUCAAGAAGGGAAGGUUCAAGACAAUAGCCAAUUUGAUAUCGUGUUCCUUCACGUUGGAGCUGGUGAAAAGGUUGAUGGAAGUGAAGAAAAUGCUGAUGUGGAGUGGGUGGAUGCAUUUGUUGGUGCAAUAAUGAGACAAGCGCAACCGGGAUCGGAUGUUGGUUCUCGGUUGCACUUGUCUGUUGUUAUGAGCUAUGGGAAGGUUUUGGCAGAGGAUGAAUCAAGGUUUUCAGUGUCAAAGAAGGUUGAUGAGAAGGACUCUUGUUUCUCAACACUGUAUCCUCUACAAAGUUAUGGUAUGAAAGGAGGAGUUCCUCGAAAGGAUGUGAGGCACCAUUCACCCAUGUUAAUUGCUCAACUGCAAUAUGGUGUGACUCGCAAGGAUAAUGCACACAAGUUUUCCUUCCAAGACUUCACAGAGGUUUGUUUCGAGAUUGGCUUCGGGUUUUAUUCACAAGAUUGAAAUUUAUUCCAAUCAGAUUUUCUUCUUUUUUUCUUUGGUGCAUGACUUGUUACAAAGGCCAUGCUCCAUUUCUUGCUCUUAAUGUGUUCUUACUUCUUUGUCCAGAGUGGUGGAAAUCUUACAAUACCGGCAGAUAGGUUGUUACAUGAGAUAGCCUUUAAGUUGUGGAAAGCUCCAAAAUAUGGAGCUUGAUUCCCAUGUCUCUCUUCUUGUAAGCCUCUUCCCAUAGCAGCAGGGGUAUUUGGAUGUGUCCAACACGGUCCACCGAUGUUCCUUAACAUGUUUAUUUCAAAUUCUAAACUCUGUUAACUUAAGUAAUAACCAAGAUUUGGAUGACA
Molecule: RNA transcript, 1351 nt
Organism: Lathyrus oleraceus (garden pea)
Lineage: Eukaryota; Viridiplantae; Streptophyta; Magnoliopsida; Fabales; Fabaceae
Exons: 5
Source: RefSeq, a predicted model, not a curated record